Molecule: ribosomal RNA, 467 nt
Filed under: uncultured eukaryote
Lineage: Eukaryota
Description: SSU rRNA
Rfam family: Eukaryotic small subunit ribosomal RNA
Source: RNAcentral
CUCAAAGAUUAAGCCAUGCAUGUCUAAGUAUAAAAUAACUACACAGUAAAACUGCGAAUGGCUCAUUAAAACAGUUAUAGUUUAUUUGAUAAAUUAAAUGGAUAACUGUAGGAAACUAGAGCUAAUACAUGCCAAGGUCGUAAGACUGCAUUUAUUAGAUAUACCAAGUCGGUGAAUCAUAAUAACUUAGCAAAUCGAAACAACGUUUCGAUAAAUCAUUCAAGUUUCUGACCUAUCAUGCUGGAUGGUAGUGUAUUGGACUACCAAGGCAGUCACGGGUAACGGAGAAUUAGGGUUCGAUUCCGGAGAAGGAGCCUGAGAAACGGCUACUACAUCUAAGGAAGGCAGCAGGCGCGUAAAUUACCCAAUCCUAAAUCAGGGAGGUAGUGACAAGAUAUAACAACGCGAUUAAAUAUCGCGAUUGUAGUGAGGGCAUUCUAAAAAAUAGACUUCGAGUACGAUUGGAG